CCUACGGGUGGCAGCAGUGAGGAAUAUUGGUCAAUGGACGCAAGUCUGAACCAGCCAAGCCGCGUGCAGGAAGAAGGCUCUAUGAGUUGUAAACUUCUUUUAUACGAGGGUAAAAGUAUAUACGUGUAUCUGUCUGAAAGUAUCGUACGAAUAAGGAUAGGCUAACUCCGUGCCAGCAGCCGCGGUAAUACGGAGGAUUCAAGCGUUAUCCGGAUUUAUUGGGUUUAAAGGGUGCGUAGGCGGUCGGAUAAGUUAGAGGUGAAAUCCAGAGGCUCAACUUCGGAAUUGCCUCGGAUACUGUUUGGCUAGAGAGUAGUUGAGGUAGGCGGAAUGUAUGGUGUAGCGGUGAAAUGCUUAGAGAUCAGACAGAACACCGAUUGCGAAGGCAGCUUACCAAGCUACUUCUGACGUUGAGGCUCGAAAGCGUGGGGAGCAAACAGGAUUAGAUACCCCUGUAGUC
This 460-nucleotide ribosomal RNA is filed under the name uncultured bacterium. Its description in RNAcentral is "partial 16S ribosomal RNA". It matches the Rfam family "Bacterial small subunit ribosomal RNA", at positions 338 to 795 of the family's 1533-position model. The record is from RNAcentral.